RNAcentral lists this ribosomal RNA (329 nucleotides) under Ammothella spinifera. Its description in RNAcentral is "partial 12S ribosomal RNA". The record is from RNAcentral. Lineage: Eukaryota; Metazoa; Arthropoda; Pycnogonida; Pantopoda; Ammotheidae.
UAUCAGAUAUGUUCUCCAAAUUCAAAAAAAUUGGCGGUAAAUAAAUUAUUUAGAGGAACUUGUUCUAUAAUUGAUACUACACAAUACAUCCCUCCUAAUUUAAUAAUUUGUAUAUCGUCGUUUAAAACAUGUUUAAUGAAUAAAAAUUUUUUAAAAUUUAAUUAUCAUAAUUAAAUAUAAAUCAGAUUUAGAUGCAGUGAAUAAUUAGGUUUGAAAUGAGUUACAAUUUACUAUAUAAACAACAAAUUUAUAAUUAAAUAAAAUAAUGAAGGUGGAUUUAAUAGUAAUUAAUUAUUAAAAAGUAUUAAUGAAUAUAUUCUAAUUUAUGU